AGCUAGUUGGUGAGGUAAUGGCCCACCAAGGCGACGAUCGGUAGCCGGACUGAGAGGUUGAACGGCCACAUUGGGACUGAGACACGGCCCAGACUCCUACGGGAGGCAGCAGUGGGGAAUAUUGCACAAUGGGGGAAACCCUGAUGCAGCGACGCCGCGUGGAGGAAGAAGGUCUUCGGAUUGUAAACUCCUGUUGUUGAGGAAGAUAAUGACGGUACUCAACAAGGAAGUGACGGCUAACUACGUGCCAGCAGCCGCGGUAAAACGUAGGUCACAAGCGUUGUCCGGAAUUACUGGGUGUAAAGGGAGCGCAGGCGGGAAGACAAGUUGGAAGUGAAAUCCAUGGGCUCAACCCAUGAACUGCUUUCAAAACUGUUUUUCUUGAGUAGUGCAGAGGUAGGUGGAAUUCCCGGUGUAGCGGUGGAAUGCGUAGAUAUCGGGAGGAACACCAGUGGCGAAGGCGGCCUACUGGGCACCAACUGACGCUGAGGCUCGAAAGUGUGGGUAGCAAACAGGAUUAGAUACCCUGGUAGUCCACACUGUAAACGAUGAUUACUAGGUGUUGGAGGAUUGACCCCUACAGUGCCGCAGUUAACACAAUAAGUAAUCCACCUGGGGAGUACGACCGCAAGGUUGAAACUCAAAGGAAUUGACGGGGGCCCGCACAAGCAGUGGAGUAUGUGGUUUAAUUCGACGCAACGCGAAGAACCUUACCAAGUCUUGACAUCCUGCGACGGACAUAGAAAUAUGUUUUUCCUUCGGGACGCAGAGACAGGUGGAGCAUGGUUGUCGUCAGCUCGUGUCGUGAGAUGUUGGGUUAAGUCCCGCAACGAGCGCAACCCUUAUGGUCAGUUACUACGCAAGAGGACUCUGGCCAGACUGCCGUUGACAAAACGGAGGAAGGUGGGGAUGACGUCAAAUCAUCAUGCCCUUUAUGACUUGGGCUACACACGUACUACAAUGGCGUUAAACAAAGAGAAGCAAGACCGCGAGGUGGAGCAAAACUCAGAAACAACGUCCCAGUUCGGACUGCAGGCUGCAACUCGCCUGCACGAAGUCGGAAUUGCUAGUAAUCGCAGAUCAGCAUGCUGCGGUGAAUACGUUCCCGGGCCUUGUACACACCGCCCGUCACACCAUGAGAGCCGGGGGGACCCGAAGUCGGUAGUCUAACCGCAAGGAGGACGCCGCCGAAGGUAAAACUGGUGAUUGGGGUGAAGUCGUAACAAGGUAGCCGUAGGAGAACCUGCGGCUG
RNAcentral lists this ribosomal RNA (1252 nucleotides) under metagenome. Its description in RNAcentral is "bacterial SSU rRNA". It matches the Rfam family "Bacterial small subunit ribosomal RNA", at positions 243 to 1520 of the family's 1533-position model. The record is from RNAcentral.